CUGAAAAUCAAAAAAGAGAAAAACAAAAGUGAAAACAUGUUGACUGUUCAAUUGAUCAUGCAAUCCGGAAAGCCAUUGGUUACGAAGCUCCCAAUCUCAGCUACCGUAUAAGAGCUAAAGGCUGAGCUUCAGAGCCUUCUCAAUAUUGAGCCGGAAACAUUGGAGAUUUCUGCAUCUGAUGUAACGUGUGCCGAUUCAGAUCUUUUAAUAGAAGUUGCUGGUCUAGGCAAAAACAAACAAAUUAAGCCGGUUGUGUCUUGCUAUGAAGGCAACAAUUUUGUGGGCUUGAUACUAUUUUCCCUUGGGGGCGAGGAUUUCGCCGAUCCAUUAGUCGAUAAUUCGGUGUCAGACUCAAGUAUCGAAGAUAGUGAAUCUUCCGUCAUUGAGCUAUCCUCGGGAUCUAGUGGCGGAUCCGUCCAGCCAUCCACUAUUGAUUGCAAGCGAGGUAUUAAACGAAAAGCCCAAGGACAUGAAAUAACCAUAGAGACUAAACGGAUCAAAUAUAUUCUCGAAUCCAGUGAGGAGAGUCUAGAAAACCACUCGUAUGGAGAUAUGCAGGAGGCAUGCGAUAUGGGAGGCUGCGGAAUAAAGUCCUGACCACGCCCGGUUAAAC
Molecule: long non-coding RNA, 613 nt
Organism: Drosophila willistoni
Lineage: Eukaryota; Metazoa; Arthropoda; Insecta; Diptera; Drosophilidae
Exons: 3
Source: RefSeq, a predicted model, not a curated record